This 389-nucleotide long non-coding RNA is filed under the name Serinus canaria (Common canary). Its description in RNAcentral is "lncRNA (ENSSCAG00000014774.1)". The record is from RNAcentral. Lineage: Eukaryota; Metazoa; Chordata; Aves; Passeriformes; Fringillidae.
AAUGUAUUUUAUUAAUGUAAACCUUUUCUUUGUCAACAGAUGACAAAUAGAAUUUUGUUGCUGAAGAACAUUUUGUUGCUUUAUAUAUAUGUUGUUUUAACAGCACAUAUAUAUAAAGAUUUUAAAGCACUUAAAAGAUGCUUAUUUUAGGCAAAUUUUUACUAUGAUUUAAACAAGGUGAAUUGACUUCAGAAACUUAAGGGCAAACCUGUUGCCAUAUUCCUAAGUCAGCAAUGCCUAACCAUGACCAGCAAGGUGAGGAGCAGUUCACACAUCCCCUGGCAGAGCCCCGUCAGCAUGUGCUGCCGGAGCUUCCUGCUGAAGGUGACACUCAGCAAGUGCUGCCUUUCAGAAUUUGGAAAUUCAACCAGUGCAGACGAAGAUGUAGG